This 468-nucleotide ribosomal RNA is filed under the name uncultured bacterium. RNAcentral describes it as "partial 16S ribosomal RNA". It matches the Rfam family "Bacterial small subunit ribosomal RNA", at positions 28 to 507 of the family's 1533-position model. The record is from RNAcentral.
GACGAACGCUGGCGGCGUGCUUAACACAUGCAAGUCGAACGGAAAGGCCCUGCUUUUGUGGGGUGCUCGAGUGGCGAACGGGUGAGUAACACGUGAGUAACCUGCCCUUGACUUUGGGAUAACUUCAGGAAACUGGGGCUAAUACCGGAUAGGAGCUCCUGCUGCAUGGUGGGGGUUGGAAAGUUUCGGCGGUUGGGGAUGGACUCGCGGCUUAUCAGCUUGUUGGUGGGGUAGUGGCUUACCAAGGCUUUGACGGGUAGCCGGCCUGAGAGGGGGACCGGCCACAUUGGGACUGAGAUACGGCCCAGACUCCUACGGGAGGCAGCAGGGGGGAAUAUUGCACAAUGGGCGGAAGCCUGAUGCAGCAACGCCGCGUGCGGGAUGACGGCCUUCGGGUUGUAAACCGCUUUCGCCUGUGACGAAGCGUGAGUGACGGUAAUGGGUAAAGAAGCACCGGCUAACUACGUG